This is a small nucleolar RNA of 171 nucleotides. Its record names the gene U3. It matches the Rfam family "Small nucleolar RNA U3". Rfam says of the family: Small nucleolar RNAs (snoRNAs) are involved in the processing and modification of rRNA in the nucleolus. The record is from Ensembl.
AAGUUUGAUUUGAAAGUGUAACGUCUCUCUAACCACGAUGACGAGUUAAGAUGCUUUCUUCUGAGCGUGAAUCGGGUGGUGAGCGACGAGCAAGAUUGUCUGCUCUCUGUCGUUGAUGAACGUUCCUGCUGUGCUUUGCAGUCUGGAAGAAGAAAGCAUGUUCAGAGUGGU